GGAGGUGUCGCAUAGCGGUCAAUUGCACUAGUCUUGAAAACUAGAGUCUUACGACUUCGUGAGUUCGAAUCUCACCACCUCCG
RNAcentral lists this transfer RNA (83 nucleotides) under Minisyncoccota bacterium. RNAcentral's name for it is "tRNA-Ser". It matches the Rfam family "tRNA". From Rfam's summary of the family: Transfer RNA (tRNA) molecules are approximately 80 nucleotides in length. The record is from RNAcentral. Lineage: Bacteria; Bacillati; Minisyncoccota.